This 1380-nucleotide ribosomal RNA is filed under the name Vibrio parahaemolyticus. Its description in RNAcentral is "partial 23S ribosomal RNA". It matches the Rfam family "Bacterial large subunit ribosomal RNA", at positions 1510 to 2863 of the family's 2925-position model. Lineage: Bacteria; Pseudomonadati; Pseudomonadota; Gammaproteobacteria; Vibrionales; Vibrionaceae. The record is from RNAcentral.
GUUCAAGUGCGUAGGCUUAAGAGUUAGGUAAAUCCGGCUCUUUUUAAGGCUGAGACACGACGUCGAGCACCUACGGGUGUGAAGUCAUUGAUGCCAUGCUUCCAGGAAAAGCCUCUAAGCUUCAGAUUGUAAGGAAUCGUACCCCAAACCGACACAGGUGGUCGGGUAGAGAAUACCAAGGCGCUUGAGAGAACUCGGGUGAAGGAACUAGGCAAAAUGGUACCGUAACUUCGGGAGAAGGUACGCUCUUGAUGGUGAAGUCCCUCGCGGAUGGAGCUGACGAGAGUCGCAGAUACCAGGUGGCUGCAACUGUUUAUUAAAAACACAGCACUGUGCAAAAUCGUAAGAUGACGUAUACGGUGUGACGCCUGCCCGGUGCCGGAAGGUUAAUUGAUGGGGUUAGACUUCGGUCGAAGCUCUUGAUCGAAGCCCCGGUAAACGGCGGCCGUAACUAUAACGGUCCUAAGGUAGCGAAAUUCCUUGUCGGGUAAGUUCCGACCUGCACGAAUGGCGUAAUGAUGGCCACGCUGUCUCCACCCGAGACUCAGUGAAAUUGAAAUCGCUGUGAAGAUGCAGUGUACCCGCGGCUAGACGGAAAGACCCCGUGAACCUUUACUACAGCUUGGCACUGAACAUUGACCCUACAUGUGUAGGAUAGGUGGGAGGCUUUGAAGCACGUACGCCAGUAUGUGUGGAGCCGUCCUUGAAAUACCACCCUUGUAGUGUUGAUGUUCUAACGUCGACCCCUAAUCGGGGUUGCGGACAGUGCCUGGUGGGUAGUUUGACUGGGGCGGUCUCCUCCCAAAGAGUAACGGAGGAGCACGAAGGUGGGCUAAUCACGGUUGGACAUCGUGAGGUUAGUGCAAUGGCAUAAGCCCGCUUGACUGCGAGAAUGACAAUUCGAGCAGGUGCGAAAGCAGGUCAUAGUGAUCCGGUGGUUCUGAAUGGAAGGGCCAUCGCUCAACGGAUAAAAGGUACUCCGGGGAUAACAGGCUGAUACCGCCCAAGAGUUCAUAUCGACGGCGGUGUUUGGCACCUCGAUGUCGGCUCAUCACAUCCUGGGGCUGAAGUCGGUCCCAAGGGUAUGGCUGUUCGCCAUUUAAAGUGGUACGCGAGCUGGGUUUAGAACGUCGUGAGACAGUUCGGUCCCUAUCUGCCGUGGGCGUUGGAAGAUUGAAGGGGGCUGCUCCUAGUACGAGAGGACCGGAGUGGACGAACCUCUGGUGUUCGGGUUGUGUCGCCAGACGCAUUGCCCGGUAGCUAAGUUCGGAAUCGAUAACCGCUGAAAGCAUCUAAGCGGGAAGCGAGCCCUGAGAUGAGUCUUCCCUGAUACUUUAAGUAUCCUAAAGGGUUGUCGGAGACUACGACGUUGAUAGGUCA